Molecule: RNA transcript, 2928 nt
Organism: Sceloporus undulatus (fence lizard)
Lineage: Eukaryota; Metazoa; Chordata; Lepidosauria; Squamata; Phrynosomatidae
Gene: PRKAG3
Gene name: protein kinase AMP-activated non-catalytic subunit gamma 3
Exons: 14
Source: RefSeq, a predicted model, not a curated record
UCUGGGGGGUGCCCCUGCCCUGCAGCCAGCCAGCCAGCCAGCCAGCCUGCCCUGACACUCAAGCUCCCCGGCCACUCGCCCUAAAGAGCAGCUGGCCCGCCAUGGAGGCCCCGGCCCCAGAGCAGCAGCAGGAGCAGGAGGUAAUACCAAUGAGCAAUGGUCUCCAGCUUCAGGAAGCAGGCCCCAUCCUUUCUCUGGACGUUAAGGAAUCUGCCUUGGAAGCCAGUGUUGUAAUGCUGGAAGCCAAAGACCUGAUUGCAGAGGGCAAAGAUGCCAAGCUGAAUGGGACGUCAGAUGGCCAGAGCAUGAACUGUGAUCCUGAAGUUGUUGUGCAGGAUGCCAAGACAGCGGGUUGGGAUGGCAGAGUGACAGAAGUGACUGUUGAGAUGAUAAAUGCAAAGGCCAAAGAAUUAGAUGGAGCUGAAAACAGUGGUCAGCCUCAAGCCACAGGAACAGAUAGCAAACUGAGGGGAAAAGAGGAUGUGAUGCUGAGAGCCAAGAAUGAUGACAGGAAGGCCAAAGCAACUGCAACUGGUAGUAAAGAUGCCAGUCAGCAUUGCCAAGGAUCAGAUCUGGAUCCCAAAGGAGCAACACCAGCAGAAACAACAGCAGCAGCAGCAACAACAGAAGCUACUCAGCUUGAACCGAGUAACAAGGAAAGUGAUGGGGACAUCAUUUCGCUUGAUUGUGAAAUUCUUGGUUUUGGCCCUGACAUUGACUUCCUGGGCCCUGAUGCUGAACUCUAUAUGCAGUUUAUGCGGAGCCACCACUGUUAUGACGCCAUCCCCACCAGCUCAAAACUGGUAGUAUUUGACACUACCUUGCAGAUUAAGAAGGCCUUCUUUGCCAUGGUGGCCAAUGGGGUGCGGGCUGCCCCUCUCUGGGACAACAAGAAGCAGUGUUUUGUAGGUAUGCUGACCAUCACUGACUUCAUUAACAUCUUACAUCGCUACUACCGAUCCCCUUUGGUUCAGAUAUAUGAGAUUGAGGAACACAAAAUUGAAACGUGGAGAGAGGUGUAUUUGCAAAGUUCCUUCAAACCCUUAGUGUGCAUCUCCCCAAACGAUAGCCUGUUUGAUGCUGUUUAUUCCUUGAUUAAGAACAAGAUCCACCGGCUGCCUGUGAUUGAGCCCAUCUCGGGGAAUGUCCUUCACAUACUGACACACAAGCGCAUCCUCAAGUUUCUACAUAUCUUCGGUGCUAUGCUUCCAAAACCACGCUUCCUGCAGAGAACCAUCCAGGAGCUGGGCAUUGGCACCUUUCGGGAUGUUGCGAUGGUACUGGAGUCAGCUCCUGUUUACACAGCCCUGGAGAUUUUUGUGGACCGCAGGGUCUCAGCAUUGCCAGUUAUUAAUGACAAAGGGCGUGUAGUUGGUCUCUACUCCCGCUUUGAUGUGAUUCACUUGGCUGCCCAAAAGGCCUACAAUAACCUGGACAUCAGCGUGGGGGAAGCACUGAAGCAGCGCUCUGUCUGUCUAGAAGGAGUGCUCACAUGCCACCCUUAUGAAACCAUGGAAGAUAUCAUUGAUCGUAUCGCCAAAGAGCAGGUCCAUCGCCUAGUUCUGGUGGAUGAGAAGAAUGCUCCACGGGGAAUCGUGUCCCUCUCUGACAUUCUCCAAGCCCUGGUGCUCACGCCUGCAGGUAUCGAUGCCCUAAACUCUUAAGCUGCUCGACGCUCCAUCCUUCCUCCAUUUGUACCCUCCAUUUCCUCCGCUUCUCUCCAGCUCAGUACCAAACAGCAACCCGGUUUGGAAGCAAGGCUAAUACUGUGGAUCAUGGACACACAGGAGUCUUGUGGGUACCCUUUUGAGGCAUUGACCGCCAUUCACUCUGAUGACCACUUUCUACCCAUCUCCUUGGGUUACUGCCACUGCAUCUAUGAAACAUAGGGCCUGGGUAAGGUGGAGCUUAACAGCACAGAAAAACGAGCAAAGGAAGGAAAGAGGAGGAAGAGUAAAAUGGGGGGAAAGAACCUGAACUUCAGCACUGUUGAUAGGUUUGCUUCCUUACCUAGUGCAGUCUUGUGCCAGCAAACUUACAACAAAGGAGAUACUGCUGGUCCUUGUUGGACAUUUCACAUUUGCUUGCCUCCUUCAUUAGUCCACUCCUGCCUGAAGAUGAUAUAACUGAGUGUGUGUAGUACUCCAACUGGCUUCAAAGCCUCCUCACUUCAGCCUAAGCCAUUCGUUCAAAGUGAUGCUACUGCUUCAGAUUCAAAAAGCAAUCAGGAGGACUACACACCUUCCCAAUGGAAAGCUCGAGUAGCAGCCAGAGGCAGCUUAUUUGAAGCAAAAUUGCACUGCUUGAACACUGAGAAAGAUUUCCUCCAUUUGUCUGCCAUGCUAUUUUGGAGGGGCAGGGGAGAAAGACAGAUUUUUCAAAGCUGCCUCCUACACAAGACUGAGCACUUAAUGAGCAAAUGCAUUGCUUUUUUCAUAUUUCAUCAUACAUAAGUCAGUGCUAAUGAGAGGAAGAAUACAUUUUACAAGAAAGGUGGGUACUUGAUGUUUGUGAACUGAUAAGCCCCUUUCAAAUGCAUUUUCUUCUGUUCCUAGACCUCAACUUGUGGCUUUUCCAGCUACUGCUGGACUAUAACUCCCAUCAUCCUGGAUAAUGUUGGCUAAUGCUUUUGGGAGUUGCAAUACAAGAACAUCCAAGAGGGCCAUCCCUACAGCCUUGCAACAACAACCAAGGUUGUAUAUUUUGUAUUUCUUUAGUACAGAGAGCCUAGCCUUCCAGCUGUUGUUGGAUUCCAACUCUCAGCAGCUCAAGGCUUGAGGCCAGUAGGUAGGGAUGAUUGGGGGGGGGGGUUGUUGUAGUCCCAACACCAAGAAGAUUUCAAGUUCCCCAUCCCUUUGUACCAUGUUUCCAGCAGACAUGCCAGGAAUGUUGUUCUCUUAUUUUUGUUCUAUUAAACUUUCAUAUUAA